This 505-nucleotide ribosomal RNA is filed under the name uncultured bacterium. RNAcentral's name for it is "partial 16S ribosomal RNA". It matches the Rfam family "Bacterial small subunit ribosomal RNA", at positions 28 to 507 of the family's 1533-position model. The record is from RNAcentral.
GACGAACGCUGGCGGCGUGCCUAAUACAUGCAAGUCGAACGCACAGUUUAUACCGUAGCUUGCUACACCAUAGACUGUGAGUUGCGAACGGGUGAGUAACGCGUAGGUAACCUGCCUGGUAGCGGGGGAUAACUAUUGGAAACGAUAGCUAAUACCGCAUAAUAUUAAUUAUUGCAUGAUAAUUAAUUGAAAGGUGCAAUUGCACCACUACCAGAUGGACCUGCGUUGUAUUAGCUAGUAGGUGAGGUAACGGCUCACCUAGGCGACGAUACAUAGCCGGCCUUGGGUGGUGGACGGCCACACUGGGACUGGGACACGGCCCAGACUCCCUCGGGAGGCAGCAAGAGGGAAACUUCGGAAAUGGACGAAAGUCUGACCGAGCAACGCCGCAGUGGGGAAGAAGGUUGUCGGAUCGGAAAGGUCUGUUUUAAGGGAAGAACGGGUGUGAGAGUGGAAAGUUCACACUGUGACGGUAUCUUACCAGAAAGGGACGGCUAACUACGUG